RNAcentral lists this non-coding RNA (28 nucleotides) under Mus musculus (house mouse). Lineage: Eukaryota; Metazoa; Chordata; Mammalia; Rodentia; Muridae. The record is from RNAcentral.
UGGACACAUUCAGAAGGACUGGCUCUGU